This 373-nucleotide unclassified non-coding RNA is filed under the name Hevea brasiliensis (rubber tree). Lineage: Eukaryota; Viridiplantae; Streptophyta; Magnoliopsida; Malpighiales; Euphorbiaceae. The record is from RNAcentral.
AAUAUCACAAUCCAAACUACCACUAUACACCACAUAAGAAUUUCCACAACCAAAAUCAUCGCUAUUACUAUUACUAUUACUAUUAUCUGAACUCGCGGUUAAACAUUUUACCGGACCAUUAUGCCCUUCCAAAACAGCCAAACAUGAAUAACUUUUUCCAAUACCUUUCAUCCAUAUUCUCACUGUUUUAUCUGCUGAUCCACUGCAUACCAAAUCAUCCACCACAGAUAAACACAAUAUGGCCUUAGUAUGUCCUCUUAAGGCUCCACUCACCACCAUUUUAUCACCACCACUAUCUUUUUCCCAUACAAUUAUGGAUCUAUCACAAGCACCUGAAUAUAAAAUUGAACCAUCUGUACUAAGAGCUAAAGCA